GCGGUCGCUGCAAGGAGUCAUUUUGUGACUGUGAGCGCUACAGUGUUCUGAGGUCGGCGAACAUUCGCUGUGACUACUGUGAUCACUGCCCCGGAUCGCAUGGAAAAUUAGACGAGCUUGACAGCACUCCUUGGACUGGGGACUGGCAUGUUCGCGGCACAGAUGCUACUGAAGCUUCUGAACCACAAGAUUCUGGAGGAAACUGUGCAAAUGCAGACUUAUGUACCACAGCUCCUGGUGAAACAGUUGAGAGCAGCAGCUUACAACGCGCCAAUGACUUGUCCCUUCUGCCUACAAGAAGCACAAAUGAUCUGUCACUGCUGCCUAAUACAAGCACCAGGGACCUGUCCUUGCUGCCAUCGAGAAGCGCCAAUGACCUGUCCUUGCCACCUACAAGAAGCACCAAUGAUCUGCCACUGCUACCUACGAAA
Molecule: long non-coding RNA, 431 nt
Organism: Dermacentor silvarum
Lineage: Eukaryota; Metazoa; Arthropoda; Arachnida; Ixodida; Ixodidae
Exons: 3
Source: RefSeq, a predicted model, not a curated record